This 795-nucleotide long non-coding RNA is filed under the name Gallus gallus (chicken). The record is from RNAcentral. Lineage: Eukaryota; Metazoa; Chordata; Aves; Galliformes; Phasianidae.
CAGGUACCUGCUGUGAUGUUCAGCCUUUUUAGGUCUCUAGCACAUGUAUGCGUGACAGCAGGACAUCUUCAGAAUGAGAGCAUGAAUGUGCACUCCAUAUGGUGAUAGCACAGAAAAGUAAAUGUUCCAGGCAAGACUUCAGCAGAAGUCACACCUGGAGUAGUUACCUGGCAGAGACAGCCUGUUCUGCAGUUCUUCUGUACAGCUCAGGAUUCAGUCUUUAUCAUGCCAAUCAGCUAACUUAAAUGGAGUAACUCUAGACAAUUUGUUUUAUGUUGAAACAUGGAUUAAGAAAGCUUUAAAUUUGGAUUUUGUGACUCUUGUGCUAUAUUUUGAGGUUAUGGAUUCUUUGCCCUUAACACUGAAAUUCAUUUCUUUGCACUUUGAAGUGAAUUUUCUAGGUAGCUAAGAGAAACUUUUUUUUUUGCAGCUAACAAGUUAUCUUUUGGACUCGAGGGGAAAUUAAAACAAACAAACAAAAAACCCCACAAAACAGUGCUCCAGGACCUUAAUCAUCUUUCUGGCCCAGACUGGACUGUCCUAGUGUCACUGAGUGAAGCACUGAUAUUCUUUAUUUGAAUAUAAUCUUUUAUAAUCUUAGACACUGUUCAAUUGAGGGGAGAGUAAAGCAUGAGCAAUUGAAAAAAUAUAUGCCUGGACUUCAAAAUUAAAUCUGAAAACUGUAAUUCUUCAGAUGGGGAUCAUGUAACUAUCAAGUCUGCAUUUCUGCUCUGCUGAGAAGACCUUUGUACCUAUGAAGAGCCUGCAAAGCCUAAUGAGAAGAUAGAUCUAGGU